UACGAAGGGGGCUAGCGUUGUUCGGAAUUACUGGGCGUAAAGCGCGCGCAGGCGGUCCUUCAAGUCAGAGGUGAAAGCCCAGAGCUCAACUCUGGAAUGGCCUUUGAGACUAGAGGACUUGGGUACGGGAGAGGUGAGUGGAAUUCCGAGUGUAGAGGUGAAAUUCGUAGAUAUUCGGAAGAACACCAGUGGCGAAGGCGGCUCACUGGCCCGUUUACCGACGCUCAGGCGCGACAGCGUGGGGGAGCAAACAGG
Molecule: ribosomal RNA, 255 nt
Filed under: uncultured bacterium
Lineage: Bacteria
Description: partial 16S ribosomal RNA
Rfam family: Bacterial small subunit ribosomal RNA
Source: RNAcentral